Molecule: ribosomal RNA, 327 nt
Filed under: uncultured eukaryote
Lineage: Eukaryota
Description: partial 18S ribosomal RNA
Rfam family: Eukaryotic small subunit ribosomal RNA
Source: RNAcentral
CCCUUAGAUGUUCUGGGCCGCACGCGCGCUACACUGAUGCAUUCAACGAGCCUAUCCUUGACCGACAGGUCCGGGUAAUCUUUGAAUCUGCAUCGUGACGGGGAUAGAUUAUUGCAAUUAUUAAUCUUCAACGAGGAAUGCCUAGUAAACGCAAGUCAUCAGCUUGCAUUGAUUACGUCCCUGCCCUUUGUACACACCGCCCGUCGCUCCUACCGAUUGAAUGAUCCGAUGAAUAUCAUGGAUUGAGAGUACGAAUGGGUUCGCUCAUUUCUGCUGCUCGAGAAGUGAAGUAAAUCUUAUCAUUUAGAGGAAGGAGAAGUCGUAACA